RNAcentral lists this ribosomal RNA (253 nucleotides) under uncultured prokaryote. Its description in RNAcentral is "partial 16S ribosomal RNA". It matches the Rfam family "Bacterial small subunit ribosomal RNA", at positions 524 to 776 of the family's 1533-position model. The record is from RNAcentral.
UACGGAGGGUGCAAGCAUUAAUCGGAUUUAUUGGGCGUAAAGGGCGCGUAGGCGGAUUUGUAAGUCAGAUGUGAAAUCCCGAGGCUUAACCUCGGACCCGCAUUUGAAACUGUAUAUCUAGAGGAUAGUUGGGGAAAACAGAAUUCCACAUGUAGCGGUGAAAUGCGUAGAUAUGUGGAGGAAUACCGGUGGCGAAGGCGGUUUUCCAAAUUAUUCCUGACGCUGAAGCGCGAAAGCAAGGGGAGCAAACAGG